ACGGGAGGCAGCAGUGGGGAAUAUUGCACAAUGGGGGAAACCCUGAUGCAGCGACGCCGCGUGGAGGAAGAAGGUCUUCGGAUUGUAAACUCCUGUUGUUGAGGCGGUACUCAACAAGGAAGUGACGGCUAACUACGUGCCAGCAGCCGCGGUAAAACGUAGGUCACAAGCGUUGUCCGGAAUUACUGGGUGUAAAGGGAGCGCAGGCGGGAGACAAGUUGGAAGUGAAAUCCAUGGGCUCAACCCAUGAACUGCUUUCAAAACUUUUUUCUUGAGUAGUGCAGAGGUAGGCGGAAUUCCCGGUGUAGCGGUGGAAUGCGUAGAUAUCGGGAGGAACACCAGUGGCGAAGGCGGCCUACUGGGCACCAACUGACGCUGAGGCUCGAAAGUGUGGGUAGCAAACAGGAUUAGAUACCCUGGUAGUCCACACCGUAAACGAUGAUUACUAGGUGUUGGACAGUGCCGCAGUUAACACAAUAAGUAAUCCACCUGGGGAGUACGACCGCAAGGUUGAAACUCAAAGGAAUUGACGG
This 533-nucleotide ribosomal RNA is filed under the name uncultured bacterium. RNAcentral describes it as "bacterial SSU rRNA". It matches the Rfam family "Bacterial small subunit ribosomal RNA", at positions 341 to 916 of the family's 1533-position model. The record is from RNAcentral.